RNAcentral lists this unclassified non-coding RNA (478 nucleotides) under Hevea brasiliensis (rubber tree). The record is from RNAcentral. Lineage: Eukaryota; Viridiplantae; Streptophyta; Magnoliopsida; Malpighiales; Euphorbiaceae.
AUUGAGAGAUUGGCAUAAUGGUAGACAUCCAUGCAUGAUUGGUAGACAUCCAUGCAUGAUUGGAUACAAGAAGACAGUUUUGAAAGGGAGAGAGACUUUGAGGUAGGUUUUUUGUACUUUGAUGUGGCGAUUAAUUAGAUGGGUAUAUCCUUUCAAUUUUACAAAUUUUAUUCUGGGAAGUGGUUUUAGAGAAUCCUUCCGGAAUUUCAAUGCUGGCACCAGUCAAAUCCACUCGCAAUUUUCUUUAGUUACUUGAUUAGAAUAAGCAAAUUAUGUAAAUGAUAUACUUUUGUCUUGUACUAUUUUUUUUUUCUUUUCUACCCAUUCUUGAUCAGGAAGAUGUCCGAAAGAGGAAUAUUUAUUUGUUUUUGUGUGGAACAUUUUUGGGAUACCAGGGUGUAUGGGUCCAUUGUGUGACCAAGUAAUUAAUUUUGUAUUGGAAUAUUUGAUCACACAAUGGACCCAUACACCCUGGUAU